UACGGAGGGGGCAAGCGUUGUUCGGAAUUACUGGGCGUAAAGGGCGCGCAGGCGGCUGCGUCAAGUCGAGGCGUGAAAGGCCUGGGCUCAACCCGGGAAUUGCGCUUGAGACUGGGCUGGCUUGAGUGCGGGAGAGGAUGGUGGAAUUCCCAGUGUAGAGGUGAAAUUCGUAGAUAUUGGGAAGAACACCGGUGGCGAAGGCGGCCAUCUGGACCGCAACUGACGCUGAGGCGCGAAAAGCGUGGGGGAGCAAACAGGG
This 259-nucleotide ribosomal RNA is filed under the name uncultured bacterium. RNAcentral's name for it is "partial 16S ribosomal RNA". It matches the Rfam family "Bacterial small subunit ribosomal RNA", at positions 524 to 777 of the family's 1533-position model. The record is from RNAcentral.